UUUGCCGUUCUGUUUGCUGUGGCCUCCUUUUUGUUGGUAGACGCUGCACCCCGUGCACAAGUAAAGCGCGGCUUCAAAUCGUAUUUUGAAAACUACUUGGAUGAAAUGGCAACAAGUGCUUGUGUUGCGAUGGGAAAUACCGUACGUCUGUACUUUGCAGUUCGUCGAACUUGUAGUAUCAAAAGCAAAGAAACAUGUCACAAAGUUUGCACUUCGCAACAAGUAAGAAAGGAAGGGCAAAUCUGGAACUCCAAAAAGCUGCUUAAUACAAGGUGUGUGGAGUCAUUACAUGUCUACAAGAAUCGCCCAUCGUUGGCUGACAAUAAGUUGGCUGAUACAGAUGUGAACAAAGUGGGCCUAGCAAUUUACCGUUACCAUUCUUGCAACACUGGUGGUUGCGGUCCUAACUACUGCUGCUGUUCAGGGCCAUACAGUUCCUAAAUUCAAGCGUACUUUAAUUUUAAACGAUACAUA
Molecule: long non-coding RNA, 474 nt
Organism: Dendronephthya gigantea
Lineage: Eukaryota; Metazoa; Cnidaria; Anthozoa; Malacalcyonacea; Nephtheidae
Exons: 3
Source: RefSeq, a predicted model, not a curated record